This 5580-nucleotide long non-coding RNA is filed under the name Anolis carolinensis (green anole). RNAcentral describes it as "lncRNA (ENSACAG00000042844.1)". The record is from RNAcentral. Lineage: Eukaryota; Metazoa; Chordata; Lepidosauria; Squamata; Anolidae.
AUGGGAGGAGGCCUGUUCGGAGGACUACAUCCCCCAGAGGCCCUCGCGGGGGGAGCCCGAGCCCCCCUCCCUCCCCUCCCGCAUUGUGUCUGCGAGGAGGCCUUUCUCCCUGGCCGCCUUCUGCGUCUGCGUGGGCCCGUGUGCGCCGUGUGGACGACGGGCUUUGCCUCUCUUCCGAGCCGCUUUCGGCCUCUUCGACUAGGCCGCCGCCAUUUCUCCAACUGCAGCCAACGGGCCUUUUCUUCGCUGAGGACCGUUGGAGGAAGACCCGGAUCGCGAAUCGUCCCCACAAGAUUCAUCACAAAAGCAGAGAAGACUCUGAGGGAGGAAGAUAGUAGAUACACCUCUCAGACCUAUAUAUCUAUAUCUCAGUCCUCAGGAAACGCUGCAGCCCUGAGAGACUUGAUUCGAACGUCUGGAUGCGCCAACGCGUGUCUUUCUUCUGCUUUUCACGUGUUUACCCAGGUCGGAUAUCGAAAUUAUCGACUUUUUAUUUUUAUUUUUUCUUGGGGUGACUCCAAAUUUCACCCCGAAAGGGUUUUUUUCAGUCCACACACACACACAUACAAAAAGAGACCCAGAAGCAAGAAAAAGGAACCCAAGGAUACAAGGCAGGAGAAGGAUCAGCAUCUGCUUCCAACCAAAGUAGGAGAGUCAAAAGGGUUGGGUGUUGAGGAACCAGAGCUCAUCUGCAAAAUUGAGCCAGAGGAAGAGCGAUGGAACGCAAAUGAACAAGCUGCUAAAGAGCGGCAAAUCUUACCCGGAAGCAAGUCAGAAGUCCACAGCCCGAUUCUCCUACUGCCUUCUGUUCCCUGUGAUAAACCAAGCAGCUCUGCCUCAACACCAGAUGGGGCUGUAUCUCCCUCCCCUAGCCCCAUACCUGCCCCUGCAAGGUCUUUUGCCGCUGAGCGCCUGGACAACAUCCGGAAGCGGAAGAGGAGAAACAGGCAAGACAUGGCCCUGGAGAUUACUCAGGCGGCUGAUAGGCGGGUCGAAAUGGCCACUGACCGGAUCCUGACAGCUCUCGGAGAAUAUGCCAAGGCGGAUCUGGAGGACCGCGAGCGGGAUCGCAUGGACACAGAACAGAUCAUUGCACUCAUGAACCGCCAGACAGAACUCCUGGAGUCACUGGUACGAAAGCAGACUGAGGCCCGGAUCCCACGCCUCGCGCAGCCGAACCAUCCGGCAGAACCUUCGACCCUGCGCUUGGGCAUCGCCAGGCGGCAUGCAGCCAAGGCCAAGCUCAGCCGAUGACUCCGGAGUUGUCGGCCCAGCUUUAAGACAACAGGCUUUCCCGUGACUUGGUAGCAUGCAGGACUUGGGGGAGGGUACCUUUGUAAGAGGGUUGUGGCUUUAUCUUUCAGGGAUUUUUUGUUCCCACCCCUUUUUACAGUGAAUUGAUUUAUUUGCCAAUUGUAUAAAAAGAACAAAAAAAUUAAAUAGGAACACAACGUGCUUUUUAAAAACAUGACGGUUACGUUUUAUUUAUGUUCCACCUUUCAUCUACAUGGAUCCAAGGUGAUGACGGAGAGGGAAACCACGAGGUGUAUUUAUAACCAUUUUAAUACUCAAUAUACAAGUGGGUCUGUGGCAUAGACGUUGCUGUAUUGCAUUUCAUCAUCCCUGACUAUUGGCUGUGCUGGCUAAGACUGUUGGAAUUGCAGUCCAGCAGUAUGUGGAGGGCAACGCAGUUCUCCAAUCCUGGUAAAAAAGUCUCUUAAGAAUAUAGGUCUCUUGACUCAAUUCAGUACCAGCCGCUGAGAUGCUGUAACUGGACCACUGAGCCUUGUACCUUGGUGAUAACCUGGGCUGUGUGGGUCCUUGUGGACAGAUCAAAACUGCGGAAAGAGAACAGCCAGCUGAGGUGGUUUCUCAGAGUUGCAUCCAAAAUAAUAAUAAUAAAAUUAUUAUUAUUAUUAAUUGCAAAAUAAUAAUUAUUAUUUUCAAUUGCAACUCUGAGAAACCACCUUAGUUGGAUGUUCUCUUUCCACAGCUUUGAUCUGUUCACAAGCACCUCUACAUCCCAGGUUGCAAUCCCAGAUGAUAGCAGGAUUCACGAGCAGCAACUAGAAAAGCUUACACGAUAUGAUUUAAAGAUUGAACUGCAAAGACUCUGGCAGAAGCUAGUAAAGCUGGUCUCAGUGGUGAUCGGCACACUGGGUGCAAUGCCUAAAGACCUUGGCCAGGACUUGAAAAAAAUCGGUGCUGACAAAAUUACCAUCUGUCCGCUGCAAAAGGCCACCAUACUUGGAUCUGAAUGAAUUAUUCGCCAAUACAUCACAGUCCUAGACACUUGGGAAGUGUCCGACAUGUGAUCCAAUACAAAAGUCAGCAUAGUGAUCUUGUUUCCUGUGUACUAAUCUUGUUGUGUAUUAAAUAAUAAUCAUAAUAGCAGCAGCAGCAACAACGUUAUUUGUUCCCCACCUUUCUGCAUGGCUCGAGGAAAAGUACAACAUAGUCAAAACACACAGAUAAAAUACAAUUAAAAUAAAUAUACAGGCAGUUCCCAAGUUACAAACAUCUGACUUACAAACAGCUCAUAGUUAAGAACAGGGGUGAGACAACAGGAAGUGGUAGAAAUCUACCCCUCAGAAGGGGGAAUUCACUCCUUUAAGAGUUCUCAUGGGGGAAGGGUGUCUCAACUGCAGUUUUAUCAUCAAUCCUUGUUUUUAUAACAGGUAAAUUUUUUAAAAAUCCAACUGUCACAGGGACAGAAAGCGAGGUAAAAUCUAAACGGGCACAGGGAACAAAACAAAUGCCACAGGGGUGUUGACCCUUCCCUAUGCUAUUCAAAUAUAUGUGGCUGGAGUUACACAUUAAAAAAUGUACCUGUUCUGACUUACAAAUUAACUUAUGAACAAACUUAUAGAACUUACCUUGUUCAUAAUUUGGGGGUUGACUCUAGUAAAAUACAUAGAACAAAUAGUAAUAAAAUUUAAAAUUAAUAAUUUGACAGGGUAGAUGUGCUGGAAGAGAGAAAUCUUUUGUGUUUUAAAUUUUAACAGCUCCGUUGGCUGUCAGAUCACUUCCAGCAGGUUAUUCCAUGGUCUUGGGGCAGCUGAUGAAAAAGUCCUCUGUGUGACAGUCACUAGUCAGGUUCUGGCUGGAUGGAGUAAAGGGCAAAUUGUAUGGAAGAAGGUGAUCUUGAAGUAACCUGGACCCAAACCAUGUAGGGCUUUAAAGAUAGUGACCAACACUUUGUUCUUUGCCCAGAAACUAAUUGGCAACCAGUGGAGUGGUUUUAGUAUAGGUGUAAUAUGAUCACUCCUAGAUGUUCCUAUAACUACUCUGGCUGCUGUGUUUUAAAUGAACUGGAGUUUUUGAACUUGAUCCAGAGGUAGCCCAAUGUAAAGUGCAUUGCAGAAGUCCAACCUUGAGGUGACCAGCGCAUGUGGUACCACUUGAGAUAGCUUUCCCAAACUGUGUGCAUAGCAGGUAGCACAGCAGGGAAAGGAUCUUUAUGAGAGUCCUCAUUUUGACAGGGGAGUUAUGAGAAGAGCUUAUGAGAUCUAGAUCAGGCAUGGCAAGACUUAAUAUAGCAACAUAUGGCAAAUUUAUGAGAUUGGUUUUGGGCUUUUCUCCCCCGAGAAUCCUGAGAUCCAACAAAGUAGAACUGUGUGCAAAAUGAAAUCUCCUCCUAUCAAGUUUAGAAUUAAAGAACAGGGCAUUUCAGAGCAAUAAUUCAUUUCCAGUAGUAGAAUUAAUCUUAUAGUCCUUUAACAUCUAAAUCCAUUCCUGGUCACACACAUCUGCUUUUUUUAUUCCAUAUCAGCAACCUAGUUGAGAGGUGGGAAAUGAUUACAGCAGUAGAAAUUGGAAGUAAAUAUGUAAUGCUUUACUGAAAAUCUUGAGAUCGACCAUUACAUUCUUACUGUCUGUCUGCUUCUACCUUCAAUCUUUCUACAAAGCACUAUGAAUCAACUAGGGAAAAAUGCAUGUGGGGUCAUCGCUUUCACGAAUUGUGCUAGGGAGGGUUAAUGUUUCAGAAACCUCACAUGCUGCUCCUUUUAAUGCCUCAGGCAGAGAAAGUGAGAAACAACAAGUUUCUGUCCUUUUAUGACAGACCAGAUUUGCUGCCUAAAGCAGCCCCUUUCUUUCCACUUAAUGAUCUGCUAUUCAGGAACACAGGAAUGUGGGAUUAGUUUGACACAACCUGUUUUUGAGAAACACCUGAUGGCUCUUAGUUACUAGCUUUCCUUUCCAAAUGGGCACAGACUAACUGUUUAAUGAUCUAGACUGGAACAUUUAUAUUAUAGUCAUCGAACCAACAGGUUACAGUUGCCAGAUCCUCUUUUUAAAGAUGGGGGCAACGUUCAUCGUCCUCCAGUCUGCUUCGACUUCUUCAGUCCUCUUAGAAUUAUUCUAUCAAAGAUUAUGGACAGUGGCUCUGAAAUUACAUCUGCAAGUUCCUUUAUCAUUCCUGGAGGCAGCCCAUCUAGCCACAGAAACUUGAAUUAGUUUAGAAUAACUAAAGUAGCUUUUGUUGACCAUGUCUCUACUGCAGGUCUAUUCCCAACUGGUUAUCAGUCUGAUUUUUGUAAUCCAUCCUUCAUCUACCACUAAUUGAUUUUAAGGAGGUGGAGAUUUAUUUAUUUAUUAUUUAUUAACCCCAUUUAUACCCCACCCUUCUCCACCCCGAAGGGGACGCAAAGCGGCUUACACAUGGCAACUAUUCAGUGCCUCACUACAUACAAAAAGCUUAAAAUAAAUCAAAUUAAAAUUAUUACAUUAUCAACAGUUAAAAAACAAUACAUUCAACAUUAAAACCAUGUCAUCCAAACCAUAGUCCGAGGCCUUUUGGUAAUCAUUUCACAUAUGCUAGGUCCAUUUUUGCACUAAAUUAUUUCCCAAAAGCCUGGUCCCAUAACCAAGUUUUCGCUUUCCUUCUGAAGGUUAGAAGGGAGGGGGCUGAUCUAAUAUCGCUAGGGAGGGGCCACCACUGAGAAGGCCCUGUCUCUCAUCCCCGCCAGCUGCACUUACGAAGCGGACGGGACUGAGAGCAGGGCCUCCACAGAUGAUCUUAAUCUUCGUAGAGGGAGAUACGUACAGACAGGUAAGCUGGGCCAGAACCGUUUGGUGAUUUAUAGGCUAUAAAGAGCACUUUGAAUUGUGCUCAGAAACAAACUGGCAGCCAGCGCAGCUGGCACAACAGGGGAGGUGUGUGCUUCCUGAAUGCCAUUCCGGUGAGCAUCCUGGCUGCUGCCCGUUGGACCAGUUGAAGCUUCCGAACAGUCUUCAAAGUCAACCCCAAGUAGAGCAUGUUGCAGUAAUCUAUACGGGAUGUAAUGAGCUUGGAUCACCGUGGCCGAGUUCAUCCCUUUUCAUCAUGGUGUUCUAAUCAUCCCUGGAAAAUUUCAGAAAGUAUAAUUUUAAUAAGUUAACUUUUCCAAAUCCUGGUCUUACUCUUUGUCAUAAUCCUGUACUCAAAUAUUUGCAUAGAUUAAUACCGAGACAAGGAAGUCCCCAGUGGUGCAGUGUGUUAAAGCGCUGAGCUGCUGAACUUGCAGAACAAAAGGUUGCAGGUUCAAAUCCCUGGAGCGGAGUGAGCGGCCACUGUUAGCUCCAGCUUCUGCCAACCUA